AUUGAACGCUGGCGGCAUGCCUUACACAUGCAAGUCGAACGGCAGCACGGGAGCUUGCUUCUGGUGGCGAGUGGCGAACGGGUGAGUAAUACAUCGGAACGUACCCAGUAGUGGGGGAUAACGCACCGAAAGGUGCGCUAAUACCGCAUACGACCUACGGGUGAAAGCGGGGGACCGUAAGGCCUCGCGCUAUUGGAGCGGCCGAUGUCUGAUUAGCUAGUUGGCGGGGUAAAAGCCCACCAAGGCGACAAGCAGUAGCUGGUCUGAGAGGACGAUCAGCCACACUGGGACUGAGACACGGCCCAGACUCCUACGGGAGGCAGCAGUGGGGAAUUUUGGAGAAUGGGGGCAAGCCUGACGACGCAACGCCGCGUGGAGGAUGAAGACCUUCGGGUCGUAAACUCCUUUCGACCGAGAUGAACACUCACCGACCUAACACGUCGGUGAGCUGACAGUACCGAGGGAAGAAGCCCCGGCUAACUCCGUGCCAGCCGCCGCAGUAA
This 503-nucleotide ribosomal RNA is filed under the name uncultured bacterium. RNAcentral's name for it is "partial 16S ribosomal RNA". It matches the Rfam family "Bacterial small subunit ribosomal RNA", at positions 29 to 523 of the family's 1533-position model. The record is from RNAcentral.